AGCAUAUUCAGUCUUCAGAUGGUCCAACUCAUUUUGUAACCCUGUUUUCUCGGAGGCAACUGCAUUUACCAUCUGUUCUGCUUCCAGAAGCUUGUUUUCUGUCAGGCACAACAUCUCCUUUUUACUUUCUAUCUCGUCAUUCAGACAGUCCUUGACCGAUCGAACAGAUGUCAGCUCCUUCUCCAAAAUCUCCACCAAUAGCUCAGAUUGCAACUUAUCUGUUUGCAUUUUCUCCAACAUCUCCUUUUUACUUUCUAUCUCGUCAUUCAGACGGUCAUUGACCGAUCGAACAGAUGUCUGCUCCUUCUCCAAAAUCUCCACCAAUAGCUCAGAUUGCAACUUAUCUGUUUGCAUUUUCUCC
RNAcentral lists this long non-coding RNA (361 nucleotides) under Eucalyptus grandis. RNAcentral describes it as "long non-coding RNA (EGRA_LNC006618)". Lineage: Eukaryota; Viridiplantae; Streptophyta; Magnoliopsida; Myrtales; Myrtaceae. The record is from RNAcentral.